Molecule: long non-coding RNA, 77 nt
Organism: Sinocyclocheilus anshuiensis
Lineage: Eukaryota; Metazoa; Chordata; Actinopteri; Cypriniformes; Cyprinidae
Exons: 3
Source: RefSeq, a predicted model, not a curated record
CAAAUGACCCAAAAAACCAGAUUAUAUAAGGAGUCCAUAUAAUUGAUAAAUUUAUGCACACCAAAGCACACAUGAAA